GAGUUUGAUUCUGGCUCAGGAUGAACGCUGGCGGCGUGCUUAACACAUGCAAGUCGAACGAAGCGGGAAGGAAGAAGUUUUUCGAAAUGGAUUUUUUCUUUGCUUAGUGGCGGACGGGUGCGUAACACGUAGGUAACCUGCCCUGUGCUUGGGAAUAACUCCGGGAAACCGGUGCUAAUGCCGAAUAAUAUCGCCUGUCGGCAUCGAGAGGCGAUCAAAGAAUUUCGGCACAGGAUGGGCCUGCGCCGGAUUAGCUGGUUGGUGAGGUAACGGCUCACCAAGGCGACGAUCCGUAGCCGACCUGAGAGGGUGAUCGGCCACACUGGAACUGAGACACGGUCCAGACUCCUACGGGAGGCAGCAGUGGGGAAUAUUGCACAAUGGGGGGAACCCUGAUGCAGCAACGCCGCGUGAGCGAUGAAGGCUUUCGAGUCGUAAAGCUCUGUCCUAUGGGAAGA
This 458-nucleotide ribosomal RNA is filed under the name Peptostreptococcaceae bacterium canine oral taxon 071. RNAcentral's name for it is "bacterial SSU rRNA". It matches the Rfam family "Bacterial small subunit ribosomal RNA", at positions 9 to 448 of the family's 1533-position model. Lineage: Bacteria; Bacillati; Bacillota; Clostridia; Peptostreptococcales; Peptostreptococcaceae. The record is from RNAcentral.